Molecule: long non-coding RNA, 1433 nt
Organism: Triticum aestivum (bread wheat)
Lineage: Eukaryota; Viridiplantae; Streptophyta; Magnoliopsida; Poales; Poaceae
Exons: 3
Source: RefSeq, a predicted model, not a curated record
UUGGUCUCUGUUACGGUGCGGGAGGGCGCCGGCGAGGUGGUACAGGUCGCCGAUGGACGGCAACGCCCACGGCCCCGGCGGGAGUCUGCUGGUACGGUGCACGGCCGUCCGCCGUCGUUCGGGUCGCCAGCCUACAGCCCGACUCUCUCUCUACGUGUGGCUGGUCUUGGCUGUUCGGCUGGCCGUGAUUUCGUUCGUUCUUCAUCUGUUGUUUCAUGAUUUGAUGUAGGAUUCGCUGGUGACCGUACGAGUACGCUGCGGAGUUGCUGCCACUGCCGCCACUACCUGGAUUCGCUCGCCGGUGUCUGGAACCACCCCAUAGAUUUGUCUCGCUGGUGCUUGGAGUCUCCGACGCCGCCAUCAAGGGAGAAAUAGACAUGGCAUCUGCGGGUCAAUCUUCAGUUAAGAGGCUGGGAAGCACCAAGCAUAUAUCAUUCGGUUAGCAAGGUACAAGCUAACUUAUUUAAUUUGUCCAACUUUUCAUGCUUAAUAUUCUGUAUAUUUCAAAUUCUAAUACUAGCAGAUGUGUUUUACAAGUCGUGCGAGGAUUGAGUAAAUUGAUGAUCAUUGAGUCAUCAAGGAGACGAGAACUUGAUGAAAAGAACAUUGGAUGCAGCAUAUGGGGCAGUAUUUUGAUCUCAUCUGAUGCAUGUAUUUAUUCUUUGUCUUUAUAACAUGGUAUUUUAUUAAUUGUUUAUCUAUACUUGCCGUAUCACCGUAUUGCUGAAUUGUUGUAUCCCAUGUCGUCGUACCCAUGUCGUCGUACCCCUAUCGCCGCAUCCAUGUUGCCGUAUCGCUGCUUCAUAGAGGAAAAUAAAGAUGCUGAACUUCUGAGUGAUGUUGGCAUGGUGCCCAGAAGAUAAAUAUUGGGUUGUUAAAUUAUUGUUCGGCUGGGAUCUUUAAACGAGGAUUCUUACCUUCAUACAUAUCCAACACCUUUUGUUGCUUUGUACGCAUUGAUAAUUUGUAUGCUUUGUUCAAGGUGUUGAAAUUCAAGCCCUAAUUCAUAAUCAUCAAUUAAACAUAACACAUAGAUUUAUGCAUGAAUAUGAAAUUCUGUUAUUUUUAAAGACCAUACUUAGGAACCAAAGUAUGACAGCAACGGCUUCGCGGCAACCGUUUUACUAUCGUGGCAAACUGAGAUUGAAGAAGUGCAAAUAUGAAUUAAUGGAUAUGUAGAUAUAUCAUCCUCUACUUCUGAAUGAAAUGGAAAACAAUAAUUUGAUAUCUGUAACAAGAAGAAUCUAAUAAGAAAAAUAACAUUCUACUCAAAAAGAAAAUGCCCAAGCUGCCACUAUUCAGUCAGCCUAGGAGUAAAGUUAUACCAAGCAAUGCCGCAUCAACAUGCUCUUUCCCUGCAGAAAGAGUUUACAAGACGGACAAGAAUUUUAACCAAGAUUUGUGACAACUUCUCAUAAAUUCUGCCGCUUCGC